GGGGAUUGGAAGGAUUGAGAAAAGUAGAGAAGAUCACACAAAACAAGAAAAGGCUGAAGAGAAGCCCAUGAGCCCCUUUGAACAGAUGAUGUUAGCAAAGAUGGAUGAGCUCAUGAGGAUACUCAAAGAAGACUAUGUUGAGCUUAAUGAGUGCUUUGAGUCUAUCUCGAAAAAGUUGGAUGGCGUGGAUGCUAUGGGAGC
Molecule: long non-coding RNA, 201 nt
Filed under: Glycine max (soybean)
Lineage: Eukaryota; Viridiplantae; Streptophyta; Magnoliopsida; Fabales; Fabaceae
Description: long non-coding RNA (GMAX_LNC004708)
Source: RNAcentral